RNAcentral lists this long non-coding RNA (353 nucleotides) under Ananas comosus (pineapple). RNAcentral describes it as "long non-coding RNA (ACOM_LNC017386)". The record is from RNAcentral. Lineage: Eukaryota; Viridiplantae; Streptophyta; Magnoliopsida; Poales; Bromeliaceae.
GGAUAAAUUGCAUGUUUAUUCUCAAACUACAAGGCAUGUGACACUUUGAUUCUUAAAUUUUAAUUUAUUAUAUAAUUUCUGACUCCAAUUUUUAAAAUUAUUACAAUUCAGUCUCACAACCUAAUUUAGUUAACUAAAUAUUGACGGAUCUCUGAUAUAAAAAAUCGAUGUAAUAUCGUAAUUAUUAGAGUAUAAUCAAUCACAAUAUUAUAACAUCACUUAUAUAUAUCAACUGUUCGUCAAUAUUUAAUCAACUAAAUUAGCUAGAUUAUAGAACUUAAUUGCGUCAUUUCUGAUAGUUUGAGUCAAAAAUUAUAACAAACCAAAGUUUAAGGACCAAAAUGUCACCCCCG